CAUCUGAUUAUGUCAUGAGUUUCUCACUUUCUGUGAAAUAGUAUUUUUGAAGAACUGACAUGAUAUUGUGAAUAUUGAUUUGAUAGCAUUGCUUCUUUUUAAUUCUGAAGUGUUGUGUCAGUUUUUUUUCAACCCCUUUGAAUGCAGUUUACUUUUCUAAUUUAUUUUCUUUCUGAAUACCUGCUUUUUUAGAAUUGUUAUGAUACCCAGGCUGAUUUCACAAGCAAAAUGUGGAAAUCUGGCCUCAUAGAGAGACAAGAGGAAAAUCUGUCAUUGACUUCAGUAUGGCAAGGUUUUCCAUCUAUGAUUCCUUGACCUGUCUCAUCCUUGGUCAGGUAAGUAAAUUACUUGUUUUAAGGAUUUUCUUUUUACUUGUAAAAUAGCUGCUUUAUUUCUAUGUAGAUUGGGGAAAAAAGAGUAAUUUUUUUAAAUAUAAAGUCUUUAAUAGUUCCUUGUACAUUUAAAAUGUAAAAAUUGUGGAUUCAUCUUAGGAAAGGAGCCAAAGUUCAAGCCAGUUCUGUCUGAGCUGAAAAAGUGCUGCAUCCCAGUGGCCACGCAUUAAGAUGAAUGCCCAGUGAUAGGAAAUUUUUGCUUCUGUAUCUGUGUCUGAUAAAAUCUUUAAAUAGGUUCCUAUUUCUUGACAUAAAACAGUGAAAUGUAAGCAGUCAGUAUAGCACUGGGUUAAUCACUGGGGUAUUCUGGAAGAAUAAUGUGGACUACAAACCUUCUCUGCCCAGCAAGGCUGAGUUCCUGGGUGGGAACUCUGAUGAGCACUCCCAGGAUUAAGAAGAAACAGUGAUGGAAAAUGGUAGGCAGGCUAUGAAAUAGCUGCUGAAGUAACUAACCCACAGACAGGGAUUGGUGUAUCUUGUUGACCAUGACAAUUGUUUUCAAAAUCUUGUCACGAAUUCCCUGAUGAAGACAAUAGUGUUUUUUCUACACCUUUUCUCUGCUCCAGCAGUGAGAUUUGAAUCUACAUUAUUAGCUACAAUAUUCAAAAUAAAACUACUGACAUCAGCGGAAUGUGUUUACAAUGAGAUUUAUCUGAGGCUGAAGUAGUUUAAUCAAAGUUUUACCUUCAUCUUAGUCUUUCAGUAAAAAGAAGGCCCUUUCUCCAGGGUAUAUCACGUAAACUGGCAACUACAAAUUAAUUUACAAAACUUAAUUAAAAUUGUGCUAAACUCUUUCAAACAUUUCUUUAUCAAUGUCAUGCAUUGAUAUGAAUCGGAAUAAAUUUCAAAGUAUGCAAAUAAAAUGUUACACAAGCAUAAUCUAGAGACUUUUCUUAUGCUGAGCGGUGAUUUAUUUAUUAACUUGUCCAUUUCUGUCAAUUGCCAGUAAGCGUCCCAAAUUCUUUCUGUUGUUUCUAAUAACAGGAGCAGGACUCAUGCAAAUUUGGAGAAAACACAUAAUUGCAGCUUUCUAAAAUGGGGAAAUGAUGGAUUUCUUAACAGGCUGUCAAGCUAAUCUUGCAUCUCAGUUUAGUCAGUCCUGGAUGAAACUGCCCAUUGUGACGCCAAAUAGAAAGUGAGUUGAGAUUAUGAGCCUCCCUUUAGUGCUUGUCAGCUCUGAGUUCUGGUUCUGGCUAUCUCCUUCUCUUGUAGAAUCAUUGUACCUGCAAGAGGUGAGAGUGAUUUUUGUUUGCUGCACCAGCACUAGGAGAUGGGAUGGGGUGUGCAUAUAUAAUAUAUUUUUGUAUAGAAUAUCUCAAACACCUGAUCUGGUGUAUGAAAAUGUUAUGCAGAGCAGUGUUGCUAGGAAUGCUACUUAAAAACACCAACAAUUUACUUAAGAAAACAACAACAAUUUUUAACGAAGGUUAAAUUACUUGUCUGGGUUAUAUAGGAAAAUUGUGGGAGACUUAAGAACUGCCACACAUUCUCCCAAGCUCACAAAAUUAUCUUAUUCACAGACAGGCCUCUAGAAAGGAUUUUUCUAAAUGCUAUAUUCUUUGGAAACUGAACUCCAUGUUUAUGUCCUCUCUCCAUAAAAUGAAUACUUUUUUCACCUUUUCCUUCUUUCUCUCUGUGGCUUAAGGUUAAAGGAGCUGCAGCAGCUGUACCGUGUUUCUUGUGGGUACAGGAAGUACAAGGUAUUGCUUUUUCUGCAUUCCUCUAGCAGGUGUCAUCAAUACCCAUCAGCAAAUGUUUAUUUAAAGUUAUGAUUAUUUUGUUUAAAAUAUGACACAUAACCUCAAGGAUGAACAUGGAUGAAAAAGCAAGCUGUCAGAUACUGAUUCAAAAGGCUCAGGACUGCUCAUCUGGAACUAAGGGCGCCAUGAGGUCAAGUACUUCCCCUUCUUCAACCACACACAAUAACCCUGGCUGCUCUGUAUUUGUAGUUUUAAGCAUUUGCUAUCUUUGGUAUCAGAUUGUUCCACCAACAAUCAAGGUCUGAAGUGAAGAGGAAGCUUUUUUGGAAAGCUUGUGGUCUUAACCCAGGCACUGGCUUGCUUCUUGAAGCUAGAUUUUAAGGAUGGCAAGCUGCAAGUAAAGCCAGGUCAGUUCUGUAUGGUUUUCUUUUUUUUUUUUAUGGUCAGAGGGUGAAGGUGACACCUUCCUAAGGAAAAGCAUGUCAAGUUGUAAAACUGCAGGCAGAGAGGCAGAGUGUAGCUGUGGGGUUUUCUAGGGCCUUCUUUAUAGAAGAACUGAAGUAUGUUGACAAGCAACAUCAUGCCUGGCUUGUGAUGCCCCUUGGGACAGUAACAGUAUUAGUGGCCCUUUGGGUCACUUCCAGUCUCAACACUGAAAUUUGCAUGAAAUGUAAGAAGAGAUUCCUCUCUGGUCUUCUCCUUUUGCUGUUUUAAUCAAUGAAUGAGGAUGCUUAGAUAAAUGUGCCUUCCUCUGCUGUGCUGGUAACCCAGCCCUCAGAGUGAUGGAUUUGAACCUGAGGACUUCCAAGUGACUCUGCUCACUGGGAAAGCUGUCACUGACUGUCUGCCUUCUUCAAGCUGACCACAGUGCAGUCCAUAAAUUUAGUGUUCAGGGAUGUAUGGGUUCUUUACCUGAUUCACAUCAUCCCUCUUUUUUUGCUUUUAGAUGGAAGCAUGGCUUAAAUUUCUCAUGAAGCUCCAGCCCCUAGCCAGCUAGCUAGCUUUAGCUCUAGAUCAAGCUGUAGCCCCAUUGCUGUAUCUGGCUCACUGCUGUGGUAUGUGAAUGUUUUAUUGAACUUUAUAAUGCAUGAUGGCUAUUGAAGCCAGAGGUAUUUUUCUCCGCUUUCAGCACACACUGGAAAGACGUGGAGAACGUUAUUGAAGAGGAAGGAAACAUUUACAAAUAGUAGCUAUGUUAUUCUCAAGCCAAAAACCAAACCAACAAAACAAACAGAAAAAGGCAUAGUUAAAUGUCAGGAAGUGGUUCUUAAGGGAAUAAUUCUCCCAAGGUCUUGUGCCAUUUUUAGCCUUGACCAUGUAAGCAGAGUACAGCAGUUCUUGAAAGACACAUGUGGGCUGCUGGCUCCAUGGGACAUGUGCAAGCACGCUGCACAGUCUGAGUGAGGAGGGAGAGAGGGCAUCUGCGUGCCUUUGGGGAGGGGACGCCUCGGAAAAGCUGUGCCGACCACGGACACUGCCCGGAUGCCUGAGCCAGCUCAGCGUUCCGAGCACACCCAGCCUCUGACAUUGAAAGCACCGGCACAGAGACACAGAGAUGCCAGAGCAGAUGGAGACCAUGUACACAGCAAAGCUCUGGAGGUCCACCAGCCCCUGGAAGACAGUGGAGCAGUGGGAACUGAGGCAUCAUUUGAGGACGUGGGAUGAGUGUGCAGGAUGUGCUGCUCCAGUCAAAGGCCUGCUUCCCAUCUGACAUCUUCUGGCCACAAUCACUUUUGAAAUGUAUGAAAGUACUUGUGACAUUUUGAAAAAAUAUGACAAUAUUUUCACGUUGCUUGGAGAGAUGUGGCUGGAGAUAAGUGUCUAAAACAACUCAUAACGAACUGAAUUGUAAAGAAUAACUGAGACUUAUGUAUGAGUGUUUCCACCUAAGGUACAUAGAAAAGUACCUAGAUAAAGUGUCUGAGGAACUAGAAUUACUUUCACAUGGGAAAGGAAGAGGUUGCAUGAACUAUUAUACUUCCAAUUUAGAUUUUCAGUAGAGAGGUUUUAAGGAGGAAAGAUAAAACCUAAAUUUUGCGGAAUUUGUUUUUGAAACUUCCAUCUGUAGAAAUCCUAGACUUUGGACAAAAAAAAGCAAAGUGACAGAAAUCAGAAUAAACCACUCAGUCUAGCAAAAGGCUGCAUGAUAUUCUAAACCCUAUCUUGUGAUGACAAACCAUGUGAAAUCUGUGCAGAUAAGCCAUCACCCGGUGCUUGUUUCCCCUGUGUCUUACUGAGAAGAGGUGUGGGGAAUAUGCGUAAUUAAUACCCAGGGGAAAAGCAGGGAACAUAUGGUGAAGUAAUCCCCCAUUACACUCAAGUGGGUAUUGAUCAAAUGAAAUAAAAUAUGCUUUUGUAGCAAUAUUCCUCUGGAGAGAGUCCAAGCAAAGUAGCAGGGGAGCUGUGAUGUGGCCUGGUGGAACAUCAUUCCACCAAUUGCUUCAUGCCUGGAGGGGCAGAGGAGGUGGGAUAGAGGGAGAUCUUCUGCUGAGAGGAGCCCAUGCACUGCAAUGCUGAUGGGCAUGAAGGCAGACUUGUAUAGUCUGGGUGAGUAUUUAAGGGUAAAUUUUUUAAUUAAGUGUUUCACAUGGUCUUUGAUUAAGUUAGGAGGACUAAAGUGAAUGUUUGAAGGCUGGAAAAAAACCUACAAGAGACGUUUCUGGGUGUGGUGUGUGACUUAUCUUUUCCUGUUUCUCACUGUUAUUCAGUGAGAAGAUGGCUUUGUAAUUGAAGUUAUUAUCUUUACGUGAUAAACUCAGUUCUGGUGACAAGAUAAAUAGUGUUGUAAGCAAGACCUCAUUUUCCUGUUACUGGUUUCUUUGGUUAAGUAACUUAUGUUAGUUAUGGAGGAAGGUAAGGUACAAUGCAAAUAUACCUUGUCCUCUUAUCCAGCCUCUGUCAUAUUGUAUUGUGACAGGUAAGGACUUAAGGCUUUGACAUUGUGUACAAUGAUAUUAGAAAAUAGAAAAAGCUUAUAUUGCUUUGACAGAGAUAACUUUAGAGUUAACUUUGAUAACUUUGCAGUCUGAAAAAAACUCCAAAAACCAACAAAGCAACAAAACAGUCUGCUUUCUCUUUCUUCACCCUGAACAGAAUUUUUCAGGAAAAAUUACAUCUGCAAAAUGUUGCCUCUUAAAUUUGUAAUUACAAAUUUACAAUUUGAAAUUUUAAAGCAUGGAAUUAUUUAGGGCACAGAUACUCUGGUUCAUUUGCUGUGAGCAAGACUAAGAACAGCUCUGCACCUUGGUCUGCCCCAGGGGACUGGUGCAGUGAAAAUGUCUCCAUCCACACUCAUGCCUCCAGCUCUCCAGAGAAUCUUUCAGAAAAGAGAUGAAUGGAUUAACCAGACUUUAAUGGCAAAAAAGCUAUCUAUUUGUGGCUGACUGGGGUGAUGCCAGUGGUUAGAAACUAAGAUCUAACUCAUGCUUCACUGCACAUUUUGGAUUGGAGUGAAUGGCUGGGGGUUGGGCAGGACAGGAAAAACAUUGCCUUCCUCCCAUGCUGGAAACACACUUGUUUGGGGAUUUUCCAAGACAUAUGCUUUAAAAUUCACAGAAAAUGUGGCAAAACCUGAAAAAAAAAACCCAAGCAGAUUCAGCCAAGACUGUGUUAAUGGAAGCAGCAGACAAAGAGAUUUCAAGAGGUUUUGCCAUAUACCUUAAAGACCCUGGGCUGUUCUUUUGUGUGGUAUGAAGGAAACUGAUGGAGGCUGCAUUGAGCUUGGGGUGAAAUUAGGAUUAAAUGAUCUGACUUUCCCUGUUUUCCAUACUGCUUUGAGCCCAUGGAGAGUGCUCUGGGCCUUGCACUCAGGGAUCACUCAGGGUAUUGCUGGACAGAUAUGGAUACUUUGACCUGCCUAAGUACCCUGCCAGCAAAUGCCUCAGCUUACAAACACAGGGACUUCAGAGUAAAGUGGCAGUGCUGGUGUUUGCUGGCAUACAAAGUGCAUGGAGAUGACAAAAAAAUUGGAAGUCCUGCCAAAGGUGAGGUGGCCAGGUGCCAGCUGCACAGAGGUGUGCUGUGCUCUCCCAGCACCACCACAAUGCCCAGGCACCUGGACACUGGUGUGAAGCCCUGGCUGGUUCACCCAGAUUCUCCCCAGCAAUCUGCCCUGAGCACCAACAGGUGCUGUUGUUGUAACUAACUCUUUUUAUGAAGGCAGUAUGGUAAUCUCCUGUGGUCACAAGUGGGAAACCCCCUCUUUGCACAUCACCUUGUAAAAGCACCACUCACUCUCCCCAGACAGAGCCAGCAAAGGGGAAAAUUCCUCUUCAGACCUAUCAGGCAUGAAUCUGAUGCAGAAAAUGUUCCUGAGAUAUCCUUAGUCCUUCAAGCUGCAACCUAAAAUCCUCGGAGCUGAGAGCGACCGGGGACUUCAAAAGGAUGUUUCUCUUGAGUUAAAGUCUUAACAGACUUCCCUCGGAUUAUGUCCAAAACCAGCUCCAACACCAGCCCACCACUGAGUGGGGCCAGGGUGUGCUUCUUUCCCAGAGAAAGAAAUACCCCCCGUAGAAGAAGGGUUUUUCAUUUCUCCUCUGGGGACGGGCUAUCCUGUGCUCUGUCCAGGUGAGCUGCCACAUAUCUCACCUGCUCUGUGGCAGCAGCAUGCCUGGGAUCCUGCCAGGAAGGACUGCUGAUGGCACUCAUGACAUUUGAACACAGCCCAAAUCUGCGCUGAGCUUGCAAAGAGGCUUGGUGCUGGACAAGGGGAACCUAGGAACCUGCUUCAGGGCUCAGCAAGCAUAGACAAGUGUAGGUUUGAUUAUGCUGACUUCUAGUCACCACAGAGCACCCCAUAGCAUAGAGGCUGAUGCUAGUUGCUCUACUGAAAAAUUUUCACUUUUUAUUUCUUUUUAUUAGAAAAAGAAAAAUAUUUUAUUUCUUCUUAAGGUUUUUUUUUCCUCCUGCAUAUGAGCUAAUCCCAUAACUAUUUCAUUCUGACUUAUAUGGCACUUUUGCUUCUGAUAGCAAAUAUACUUUAGAUUCUUUUAUUUGUCUUCCUAUUAAAUCUUAGUACAAAUAUUUUAAUUAUCUUUUUUGUUUUUAAUUAAUGCUGUCUUCUUGAAAAAUUUCAGUAACCUGAUGGAGGAAACCAACAUCACACUAUUUUCUCAUAUUGUGUUUGCAGUUCAUUUAGCACUGGUACAAUAUAGCAGUUGUGUAGAAUUAAAAAUAAAGAGCGUCACAUUUUCCAGGCUGAGGGACCAAAAAAUCCUUCCCUCAGCUGUGCUGGAGCAGCUCAGCAGGGGAGUUGCGUGGAUGGUGCAGACACGUAGGAGUAGGGAACUUUUUGCGUUGCCGCAUAAUGCCAAAACUUGACGGCUGAACCCUAACCCAGGAGCCUGUGUGUCAUCCAUUUGUUCUUUUGACAUCUGACUUGUUUACAGCAUGAACAUGUCUCUCCCACAUAGAGGGAUUGAAACUCCCUGAAGUCUGACUUCAGAUGCCAGGAGAUAGGGUGGUUUACACAUUUUCCACAGAGGUAGGUAAAAAGUUUUACCUAGUGUGAAACUUUUUCAAGGGUUUGACUUUGCUCAUUUUUCUUGUGGAUUAGAUAGGUGCACUGGGGCUACUGAACGUUAAUGACACUGGAGAGCCUUUACACAGUAGCUGAUCUCCCUAGGUAAAUUUUUGUCAGAAGUCAAAAUUCCUUGCAGCUCAGAAUUGAAGGUCGAUGGACUGCAUAAAAUGAUUAGACCUUUUCAAAGGAAUUCUGCUUUAUCAGAACAUAAGUACAAGGAUGACUUUAGGAACAUUUUGUAUAUCUUCCCAAAUCUGAAUUGUGCCCACAUGGAGGGAAAUCUAAAAGCAAUAAAGGAUUUUAAUAAUCCAAUUAAUAUCAGUCAUUAUCCUUUGGAGAUAAUAAAAUUCUAAGAAUAGAGAGAUGUUCAGCAAACAUCUUGGUUCUGUGUAUAACAUUUCCCUUAAAUAAUAAUGUAAUGGAAAUUAUUGUUCAUAUGUGGUACAAGUAAAUAGCAUCACUUCUUCUUUAAGUCAACUUACACCCACAAGUCUUACAAGAGUUGCUUGAAGAAGAAGGAAAACAGCCAGUUAAGUCUACAUUAAUUAUUAGAAAACAAAUUUUCUUAAUAAACCUGAUUCAAUGCUUUGCUGAUGUCUAUUUCUAGCCUGGCUGGUAAAAGCAAAUACAUAGACUUUUGUGAGGUAUUUGUACUGGUAAUGCAGAACGUUUGGACAGGAAAAUCUAGCAACUCUUGCUGGCAAAAACCUCCAUGCCCAUUAAACUGAGAACUGAUACCCUGGCAUAAUUUCUAAUACAUUUGCCAUAAGAACUCUUUACCACAUGGCUUCUCUAGUUAUUUUCUGCAAAGAUCAGCGCCAGAUUUGAUGUCAUUUUACAUUUUCAUCUCUGUUCAGGAAGAAAAUAUUAAGUCAUUACUUAAUAUUUUUGGUACAAACCAGAGAUCCCAAAAAAAUGGGAAAACUAAGUAUGGAUGAAGAAGAGGAGUCAGACGGUGUAAAAUAGCUGGAUUACCAAAGCAGACCUGCUGAAACAAAGGACUUUAAUACAGGAAAGUACAAAGUGGGAUAUUACAUCCUGAGAGCAACAAAGAGAAUUGGGGACACAGUGAACAAAUAGCACAAUAUAAGCUCACAGUUUUACAGGGUAAAACUCUUUAGGGAUGUCCUGGUAGGAUAAUAGAAAAGGUGUUUCUUGCCCCUGUAUUUCUCAUUGCUGAGAGUUUUUUUUUGUGCUUAGAAUUUAGUAAUUCUAAAACUUUUUACUGAUUCUUCUCAGGUCUCACUAAAAUCACAAUUUUAUCUUUAUCAUGAAUAUUUUUCCACUACAAAUAGGGUGUUUAUCCCGUGAUUAUGUCAGUAAAUCAAUACAGAAACAGAUAAAAGCCAGCUAGAUAAACUUCUCACCUCACUUCCUUGUUCAUGCCACAGUGGUUUAUUCUCAUCUCCCUUGAUAACCUUGAAAACCUCAGAGUAAACAAGUGGGUCCUCUAUUUGCCCCAAUUUAUAACAUUAAUCACCAUGUAAGCCGGAUACAAAUUCCCUGGUACAUCUCAACUGUAUUAUGAUUCAAAGAAGCUGAACACUGAUCUCCAGCCAGCUGCAAGUGGUGUACAGAAAAUUGUGACUCAGUACUUUUCCUCACUGUUUGAAAAAAAAUCCUUUUUGAAAUUUUGAAUUUUUUUUGAAAAAAAUAUUUUCAAACAGAUUUUUUGUCAGAAAAUAAACUGAUAAGGGAGACAGGUAGAUCUUUGAUGCAAUUCCAUUGUCUACAGAGGAAAACCCUAUUUUCUCGAAUGCAUUAUUAAUGCAUGUUGAGAAUACAUUUGUUUUGGCAACUGCCUUGCCUUUAACACUUAUUCCAAACAGCCCUGUCCUGAUACAUCUCCAUUUUGCCUGAUUUUCUACACUGAGAACAUGUUGACCCUGAAACAGGAAUUUUUUUAGAAUUCCAAUAGAUUUCUAGAACACUGUUAAAAUAACCAAGGAAAUGGUAAUGAAGCAAUGGUAAUGAAUGGCAAUUCAUUUGAUAUUUAGGUGUUGUCCAGUGCAGAGACAUGCAUGUGGUUUCACAUAUUCCCUUUGGGCAAGCUUUAUUUUGAUUCCUCUGUAUCCCAUGGAGUACCUGAAAGAAAACAAGACAAAGUGACUUCAGAAAAAUGAAGCGUCUCAAAAAAGUGAUACUCAGUUGAUAUCAAAAUUGAGUGACUGUUAGUGUGCAGUGAGUACAUUCUCGAUGCAGAUAGAAAUAAUUAUUAUUAUUUACAUAUCAUACCUUUCAUCUCAGAAUGCCAAUGCAUGUUUUGACUUUCAAUUUAAUCACUUAACUGCUGAGGAGAGCUAAGUGCUAUUUCUCUAGUUUUAUUUGGAACAAAUAUAAAUGAAAAAAGCGAGCAGUUAUUUACCCAGAAACACAAGGCAUUUAAAUGCCUAACACUCAUUGAUUUCAGGAAGCACUCGUUGCCAGAAGUUUGGAGUGGCUCUGUCAUUUACUGCAUCAAACUGAUUAGUCAGGAAUGUGUAUUUCUUUGAUUUUCUAACUUUCUCCAAGAGGUAAAACAUCUCCUUAGGAAUGUGUUGUGAGAUUCAGUUCAACAAUCACCUGGACACUCCUGGUAGUCAAGGAGGGGUAAGACAACAGAGAUGGAUUCCACCCUGCGUGUCUGCACCGCAAAAGCGGAAUACCAAAACACAACCUACCCCAGCUGUGGUCAUCCACUUACCCUUGAUAUACAGAGAUUCACUGGAAAAAAAUUACAAAACACAUCCAGGGGAUUUCCACACAGUCCUUGAUGUUAUCUUUAGUGUUCUAAUUCAAUUUCGGAAUAAAGCACUUGUACUUUUCUUGUGUGUACUUGCCUCUGCUUCAACCAGCUCAAAACAAAGAGAUUUUAAACACUUACUGGCUCCACAUGCCUAUAAACUUAUCAUUUUCUCAUUUUCAUGAUGUCUCUGAUGUCCUGUGCUUAUUUUCCAUUUAUUGCAGCUUUUCUGGAUUAACUUUAUCUGUUGAUGAUAUUUUCAUAAUUGCAGUAUUAAAACAGAGAUUUAGUCAAUCUUUUAUGCAUUAGCAAGUAUUUUUAAAUAGUUUAUGGCUUUUUGGCUGGGGAAAAAUAAAUCACAAUGUGGUCUAGCUAGACUUUCUCUGGAACUGAAAAUAUUUAGUUACACCCUGAAUUGCAAUAGAAAAAGCCUAUUGAUAAAAGAUUAAGCACAAACACACCUCUGGCAGCUAUUAUACAGAUGUUAUUAUUACAGACUGAGAUUUCAUUGUCAACAAGAAGAAAA
Molecule: long non-coding RNA, 10861 nt
Organism: Haemorhous mexicanus (house finch)
Lineage: Eukaryota; Metazoa; Chordata; Aves; Passeriformes; Fringillidae
Exons: 2
Source: RefSeq, a predicted model, not a curated record